Vicia faba (fava bean) is the source of this 273-nucleotide non-coding RNA. Lineage: Eukaryota; Viridiplantae; Streptophyta; Magnoliopsida; Fabales; Fabaceae. The record is from the annotation of a GenBank genome assembly.
AUGUAUCGAUCUAAUUCAUAUAGUAUUGCAAGAGAAUCUGAUGAGUUCUGUGUUGACAUUUCAGCCACAGUAGAAGCUGCUUCUUCUUCAUCUAUGAAAAUGGCAACUUCUAAUGAAUUGCCAUUAAUACAACGGUCUGUUUCUGAUGGUUCAAAUUCCAAGAAGGAAAUUCCUUUUUAUGGCAAGUCAUUAAUAGGACAAAAAGCAGUUCAUCUCAUACCUGUUGUGCUGAUCUUUUGUGGUUUUGUUCUUUGGAUUUUCUCUCAUAAUUGA